GAUGAACGCUGGCGGCGUGCCUAAUACAUGCAAGUCGAGCGAACAGACGAGGAGCUUGCUCCUCUGACGUUAGCGGCGGACGGGAGAGUAACACGUGGAUAACCUACCUAUAAGACUGGGAUAAAUUCGGGAAACCGGAGCUAAUACCGGAUAAUAUAUUGAACCGCAUGGUUCAAUAGAGAAAGACGGUUUUGCUGUCACUUAUAGAUGGAUCCGCGGCGCAUUAGCUAGUUGUGAAGGUAACGGCUUACCAAGGCAACGAUGAGUAGCCGACCUGAGAGGAGGGUCUGCAAGGCUGGACCUGAGACGCGGUCCAGACACCAACGGGGGGCAGGAGAGCGGAAUGUUGCGCAGCGGGAGGAAGCCUGUCCGAGCGACGCGGCGAGAGUGGAGAAGGUCUGCGCUUCGUAAAGCGCUGUUAUUUGGCAAGAGCAAAAGUGUAAGUAGCGCUGCACGUUUUGCGGGUACCGGAUAAGAAGACCAGGGUAAAUUACUG
RNAcentral lists this ribosomal RNA (496 nucleotides) under uncultured bacterium. RNAcentral's name for it is "partial 16S ribosomal RNA". It matches the Rfam family "Bacterial small subunit ribosomal RNA", at positions 28 to 507 of the family's 1533-position model. The record is from RNAcentral.